This 1148-nucleotide long non-coding RNA is filed under the name Gouania willdenowi (blunt-snouted clingfish). RNAcentral describes it as "lncRNA (ENSGWIG00000016641.1)". Lineage: Eukaryota; Metazoa; Chordata; Actinopteri; Blenniiformes; Gobiesocidae. The record is from RNAcentral.
CUUUUAUUCGUACCUGACAAAAACUACUUUUGGAAAGAGACAAGAGUGGAUGGAUGUGAUGAAAAUGUAUAAGGCAUACAAAGCAUUUUUACAAAGAAUAGAAUAUGAGAAUACAGAGAGUACAGGUGAAAUCUGGAUUAAACCUUGGGCAGAAAAAUUAGCUGCAAAAAAAUAUACAUUAACAAAUGAAGAUAGGAAAAUCCGCCAUCUACUCCCAGACUUUUUGCACACAAUUAAAAAGCAUCACAAACACCAGGGUGAAUGGAAUUGGCAAGACUUCAUACAGUCACCGUUCCCCUAUCAAAUGACUUUCCUCUAUACCACCGAGAGAUCAUUAUUCCUCACGGCACCCAUAAAUGAUUGGAACGGCGAAAAGGAUAAUGAGACAAUAUUUAAGAAAUGGUUGCCACUAACUCCUGAUGCUCAAUGGCAUCAGCUUCGCUGGUCUCACGAAGAUGAAUCAUGGAAUCUGACGAUUACAGAGGCGGCAGGUGCGAGAAUAAUUGGAAAGAAACCAGUAAUAAAGAAUGGUGAGACUUAUGUAGAAAAUAUAUGGAAUACAGCUGAAGUUGAAUGGCAACCUUGUAGGAUGAGAGGAGGCGAAUGGGAGUGUCUUAAAGAUGAAACUCUAAUACAGGAACUAAAGAAAACUGUAAAUUCCACAUAUGCCUUUGCAUCACACGAUAUGCUGACCGAGAACAGAAGAGGGAUGUGUGUGAUUCCCGGAAAGCAUGUGAGGGUACCUCACUGGCCAUCCCAUGUGGCGUCUGUCGGAUGGUUACAGGGAAUAGACAUAGGAGGAUUGAUGUAUGAUAGAUUGAGGUUUGUUAGAAAUGUGCUUUGUGAUGGAAACAAAUUAAAAAAUAGGGAGAAAACUGUUCCAAUUUUUCAGGAAUGGAAAAAUGAUAAUAUAAAAAUGAAACUAAAAGAAGAUAGCCCAUGGUAUAUCCCAACUGAUACUGUGAGGAAUUGUGCAGUGACAGAAAUCGAUAACUCAAGAAUUGUACUGGAGGCCUCGGAUGAUGUUUUUAACUGUGAAGCAAUAGGGAAGCAUAGUUAUAGAGAAAAGAGUAUGGAAAAAAGGGGGACAGGCCUGCCAGCUUGGAGGAUGUUUGGGGCUAUGAUGAUCGGGGUCGCCGUACAGGGAG